GAUGAACGCUGGCGGCGUGCCUAAAACAUGCAAGUCGAGCGGUAAGGCUUUGCACUUAGUGUUUGAUCGAGAUAAUUAUUAUCACAGUUAACCAAUCGGAACCUUGGCGGGGAAGUGCGGAAGAGGAAGAUCGAAUUAUAAGUGUAGAGUACACGAGCGGCGGACGGGUGAGUAACACGUGGGAAUCUACCCCAAACUGAGGGAUAAGCACCGGAAACGGUGUCUAAUACCGCAUAUGGUCUUCGGAUUAAAGCUUCGGCGGUUUGGGAAGAGCCCGCGCAAGAUUAGCUAGUUGGUGAGGUAAAGGCUCACCAAGGCGACGAUCUUUAGCUGGUUUGAGAGGAUGAUCAGCCACACUGGAACUGAGACACGGUCCAGACUCCUACGGGAGGCAGCAGUUAGGAAUUUUCCACAAUGGGCGCAAGACCUGAUGGAGCAACGCCGCGUGCAGGAUGAAGGUUUCGGAUUGUAAACUGCUUUAUAAGUGAAGAAUAUGACGGUAACUUAU
RNAcentral lists this ribosomal RNA (508 nucleotides) under uncultured bacterium. RNAcentral describes it as "bacterial SSU rRNA". It matches the Rfam family "Bacterial small subunit ribosomal RNA", at positions 28 to 483 of the family's 1533-position model. The record is from RNAcentral.